UACGGAGGGUGCAAGCGUUAUCCGGAUUCACUGGGUUUAAAGGGCGCGCAGGCGGAUUUGUAAGUCAGUGGUGAAAGGCUUAAGCUUAACUUGGGAACUGCCAUUGAUACUAUAAGUCUUGAAUGUUGUUGAGGUUUGCUGAAUGGGUCAUGUAGCGGUGAAAUGCAUAGAUAUGACCCGGAACACCUAUUGCGAAGGCAGCAGGCUAAACAAAUAUUGACGCUGAGGCUCGAAAGCGUGGGGAUCAAACAGG
RNAcentral lists this ribosomal RNA (253 nucleotides) under uncultured bacterium. RNAcentral's name for it is "partial 16S ribosomal RNA". It matches the Rfam family "Bacterial small subunit ribosomal RNA", at positions 524 to 776 of the family's 1533-position model. The record is from RNAcentral.